CAAAGGUUUGGUCCUAGCCUUACUGUUAAUUUUUAUUAGACCUACACAUGCAAGUCUCCGCUAUCCGGUGAGUACGCCCUUAAACCUCUACCACGAGCUUUAGGGAGCAGGCAUCAGGCACACUCUUAAAAGUAGCCCAUGACACCUCGUUUAACCACACCCCCAAGGGAUACAGCAGUGACUAACAUUGAGCAAUAAACGAAAGUUUGACUAAAUUAUAAUAAAAAGGGUUGGUAAAUUUCGUGCCAGCCACCGCGGUCAUACGAUUAACCCAAAUUAACAGAAAAACGGCGUAAAGUGUGUUUAAGCAAAAUAAAACUUCAAUAAGGUUAAGAAUCAACUGUGCUGUAAUACGCCCUAGUUGUUAUCAAAAUACCCAACUAACGUGACUUUACCAACUGCUGAAGACACUAAAGCUAAGACCCAAACUGGGAUUAGAGACCCCACUAUGCUUAGCCAUAAACUGAGGUAAUUAAUUAACGAAAUUACUCGCCAGAGAACUACGAGCAACCGCUUAAAACUCAAAGGACUUGGCGGUGCCCUAGACCCUCCUAGAGGAGCCUGUUCUAUAAUCGAUAAACCCCGAUACACCUCACCCCUCCUUGCCCAACAGUCUAUAUACCGCCAUCGUCAGCCCACCCCAAUAGGGAUCACAAAAGUGGGCAAAACCAUGAAACCAUAAAAACGUUAGGUCAAGGUGUAGCAUAUGGAGGGGGAAGUAAUGGGCUACAUUUUCUACUUUAGAACAUAACGAAAUGUCUAUUGAAAUAAAGAUAUGAAGGAGGAUUUAGCAGUAAAUUAAGAAUAGAGAGCUUAAUUGAAAAUGGCAAUAGGGUGCGCACACACCGCCCGUCACCCUCCUCAAUAAAGUAAACACCCAUACCUAAUAAGAGUACGUAGGAAAGAGGAGAUAAGUCGUAACAUGGUAAGUGUACCGGAAGGUGCACUUGGAAUAUC
Molecule: non-coding RNA, 957 nt
Filed under: Sminthopsis macroura (stripe-faced dunnart)
Lineage: Eukaryota; Metazoa; Chordata; Mammalia; Dasyuromorphia; Dasyuridae
Description: 12S ribosomal RNA
Rfam family: Bacterial small subunit ribosomal RNA
Source: RNAcentral